CGCAUAUAUGCAUUAACCAAAGACCAUAAAGCCAUCUCAUGAAGUUCAUAUCAACAAGAGUUCAUAUUAAACCAUACCAAUAUACAAAAUGGAGUAUGCAAUGCAAAAGGUUCCUACGCAACCAUCCGUUACACACCACGAGUUCCUCAGAACCAUCUACCAAACUCCAAAACAAUAAGGCCUUAAGCCCGUUGUGGUUAAAACCACCAAUAACAAUAUGCAAAUACAAUUGUAGGUAAAAAUGUAGACAAGCUGCAAGUAAAAAUGCGAUAAAAAUUACCUAAUCUCUUCAAAUUUCUGAUGUAGUGCACUGACAACAGUAUUGCAGACUUUAAAUGCCGCCGGAUCUCCAUAGAACUCCUCCGUCAACCAAAAAGUACUCACCCCAUGCAGAUACAAAAUGCCAUACAAUCAGUGAGCAAUUCAUGCUAUCAAAAUCAAUCUCGAUACAGUGGAAUGCUUAACAUGUGUAUCAAUAAUCAGUGUCAGUGUAUGCUUUGCAUACUUUUAUUUUUUAAUAACAUUAGCAUUCAAACAUGCUUUCAAUAGCAUAUUCGAUUUUAGACUUGUAUAUAUUCAAUCAAUCAAAUCAACAGUUUCACUAGUAUGUAACUUACGAUACAAUCUAGUCAUACUUAGUAUGCAAUUUGAACAGUGGCAUAGCAUGUCGAACAUUACACAUGCAUUCAAUAAUCAAUAAACACGAUAUAACAUCAUUUCAAAGCAUAUCCCAACAAGCAUACUAUAAUCCCUAACAUUGGUAAUCAAUCAAACAAUCAAAUAUAACAAUUUCACAUACAGACAAUCUUGGUAAGAGCUUAACCACUCAGUCAAUAUUUUUUAAGUCACAUACCUUGCUCGACAACUUUUAAUUCGCUUAUUAGACCAUUUAGCCAUGCCCAACCAACAAGCAUUUUAUAUCAAAUUAUAACUUAUAUGAAGAAUUUACAUCCAAUUAUGCAAAGUUAGGAACCACACCUUAUUUCGCAACUCGCGGCACAACUUCGUAAAAAUUUGCACUUUCGUACCUUAAACCCUAAAUGAAUGUUGAUACAAAAAUAGCAUUAAAACAUUAAUUUUACACUUAAGACUAGCCUUGAAACACCCCUAAGGAUUGGUCCAAAACAAUGUUUCAAAAACGAAUUUUUAGAUUCGCAAAAACGGUCAAUCUUACAUUAAAACAAUGUCUAGUGAGAGUGCAAAUAGGUUCCAAUUUUUACUGUUGGUACGGGAUGUUAUGAUCAGCAACUACAAUCAAUUUCAUAUAAAAAAUCAAUAAUUAAGCAUUACUAAAAAUCCUUAGAAAUAUUCGACCAAAUCAUCAACUUUAAACAAAAUUAGUACGACACUAGUUUUCACUAAAUUUUGCACUUACGCUACCAUUAACUACUUCCAAAUUGUCGAACAAAAGGUAAUCGAAUACACCUAAAAAAGACACAAUUAAAUGCUGAUUAGAAAAGUGGAAUAGUGAUAUUUAUUUGUUGGAAAAGAACAAAAAAGUGACAAAAACAAUAACCCCCAAAGUGGUAUUCAAGAGGCAACACACCACCAUAGACGACAUAAGGAAAGGAUUAAGGGGCUAGUUACGGUCUGUUUUAAGCUUGGAAAAUAGAGGAAUAAAGGGCUGGAAAUAGCAGGUUAAGUCAAUGUUUUUUUUUUUUUAAAUCGACAGCCACAAGAGAGGUUUUAAAGGGUGGCAAACACCUCAACGAUAGAGGCUUAAGGGGCUUCUAUAAGCAAUCUUUAGGGAACAUGUAAAGGCUGAAGGAAGGUUGUUUUGAUCAACAAAAAUAGAACCAAAAUUCUAGAAUUAAAUCAAUAAAUAAACGACAUUAAAAAGGGAGAGGAAAAAGAGAGGAAAUAACACUUACAUAAAUAAGAGAAAUGGGUGAUAAUGGUGAUUUUAAUGACAACAAUGCGGGAUGUUUUUGAGUGAAGAAAACAACAGAUUGGAGGCUGGAAAAUAAAUUGAAAACAAUAGCAAGAAGGUGAAGAUAACGAACAACAAACUACCACCAGGGAAUGAGAAGUGGACAACAAAGAGGGGUGCAAAAAGCUAGUUUUUUGGGCGGCUCAAGAGAGAAGAAGAAGAGAAUUUUAAGAGAAAUGAGAAAGGAAGAAGAAAGGGAUGGAAACAACAAAAA
This 2144-nucleotide long non-coding RNA is filed under the name Gossypium raimondii (Peruvian cotton). RNAcentral's name for it is "long non-coding RNA (GRAI_LNC004160)". Lineage: Eukaryota; Viridiplantae; Streptophyta; Magnoliopsida; Malvales; Malvaceae. The record is from RNAcentral.